UGGGGAAUUUUGGACAAUGGGGGCAACCCUGAUCCAGCCAUGCCGCGUGAGUGAAGAAGGCCUUCGGGUUGUAAAGCUCUUUCAGCCGGAACGAAAAGGUUACGGUUAAUACCCGUGACUAAUGACGGUACCGGAAGAAGAAGCACCGGCUAACUACGUGCCAGCAGCCGCGGUAAUACGUAGGGUGCGAGCGUUAAUCGGAAUUACUGGGCGUAAAGCGUGCGCAGGCGGUUUUGUAAGUCAGAUGUGAAAUCCCCGGGCUUAACCUGGGAACUGCGUUUGAAACUACAAGGCUAGAGUGUGGCAGAGGGGGGUGGAAUUCCACGUGUAGCAGUGAAAUGCGUAGAGAUGUGGAGGAACACCGAUGGCGAAGGCAGCCCCCUGGGUUAACACUGACGCUCAGGCACGAAAGCGUGGGGAGCAAACAG
RNAcentral lists this ribosomal RNA (428 nucleotides) under uncultured bacterium. Its description in RNAcentral is "bacterial SSU rRNA". It matches the Rfam family "Bacterial small subunit ribosomal RNA", at positions 355 to 775 of the family's 1533-position model. The record is from RNAcentral.